Molecule: long non-coding RNA, 394 nt
Filed under: Anser brachyrhynchus (Pink-footed goose)
Lineage: Eukaryota; Metazoa; Chordata; Aves; Anseriformes; Anatidae
Description: lncRNA (ENSABRG00000017629.1)
Source: RNAcentral
UGGGCAUCGCCUCGGCCAGGCUGGCGGAGCUGACGGCGGCCCUGGAGCGGCUGCGGGAGGAAGGUGGGGAGAAGGAGCGGGCGGUGGCGGCGCUGACGCUGCAGCUGCAGAAGAUGGAGGCCUCGCGUGCCCAGGAGCCAUCAGUGGAAGAGGUGCAGGGGCUGCGCGCAGAGGUGGAGCUGCUCCACCAGACGCUGCAGGACGUCACCCAGGCGGUGCUGGCCGAUGACCCCGGGUCCCCGACGGAGCCUCCCAGGCUCCCCUGCCGCAGCCUCUCACCCGCUGCGGCCGCGGCCACGCUGGGGGCUGUGCACGGAGCCCUGCGGCGCCGGCACUUCCAGCUGCAGGUGAGCGAGGAGGAGGAGGAGGAAGAUGGACGUGGGGGAAGACGGAU